Molecule: transfer RNA, 74 nt
Filed under: Ectothiorhodospiraceae bacterium AqS1
Lineage: Bacteria; Pseudomonadati; Pseudomonadota; Gammaproteobacteria; Chromatiales; Ectothiorhodospiraceae
Description: tRNA-Gln
Rfam family: tRNA
About the family: Transfer RNA (tRNA) molecules are approximately 80 nucleotides in length. Their secondary structure includes four short double-helical elements and three loops (D, anti-codon, and T loops).
Source: RNAcentral
UGGGGUGUAGCCAAGCGGUAAGGCACGGGACUUUGACUCCCGCAUCCCAGGUUCGAUUCCUGGCACCCCAGCCA